CCAAUAGCGUAUAUUAAAGUUGUUGCAGUUAAAAAGCUCGUAGUUGAAUUUCGGGAUUGACACAUCGGUCGUGCCUUAAGGGGUGUGAACUGGUGUAGUCAAUUUCUCACCUUCUGGAGAACCGCGAUGUCCUUAAUUGGGUGCCGCGAGGAACCAGGACCUUUACUUUGAAAAAAUUAGAGUGUUUAAAGCAGGCAUUUUUGCUUGAAUACAUUAGCAUGGAAUAAUAAAAUAGGACGGCAUGAUUCUAUUUUGUUGGUUUCUAGGAUCACCGUAAUGAUUAAUAGGGAUAGUUGGGGGCAUUAGUAUUCAAUUGUCAGAGGUGAAAUUCUUGGAUUUAUUGAAGACUAACUACUGCGAAAGCAUUUGCCAAGGAUGUUUUCAUUAAUCAAGAACGAAAGUUAGGGGAUCGAAGACGAUCAGAUACCGUCGUAGUCUUAACCAUAAACUAUGCCGACUAGGAAUCAGACGAUGUUAAUUUUUUAACGACUCGUUUGGCACCUUACG
RNAcentral lists this ribosomal RNA (507 nucleotides) under uncultured Glomeromycotina. RNAcentral describes it as "partial small subunit ribosomal RNA". It matches the Rfam family "Eukaryotic small subunit ribosomal RNA", at positions 591 to 1092 of the family's 1831-position model. The record is from RNAcentral. Lineage: Eukaryota; Fungi; Glomeromycota.